UGGUAGUCCACGCUGUAAACGAUGUCGAUUUGAAGGUUGUUCCCUUGAGGAGUGGCUUUCGGAGCUAACGCGUUAAAUCGACCGCCUGGGGAGUACGGCCGCAAGGUUAAAACUCAAAUGAAUUGACGGGGGCCCGCACAAGCGGUGGAGCAUGUGGUUUAAUUCGAUGCAACGCGAAGAACCUUACCUACUCUUGACAUCCAGAGAAUUUAGCAGAGAUGCUUUAGUGCCUUCGGGAACUCUGAGACAAGUGCUGCAUGGCUGUCGUCAGCUCGUGUUGUGAAAUGUUGGGUUAAGUCCCGCAACGAGCGCAACCCUUAUCCUUUGUUGCCAGCGAUUCGGUCGGGAACUCAAAGGAGACUGCCGGUGAUAAACCGGAGGAAGGUGGGGAUGACGUCAAGUCAUCAUGGCCCUUACGAGUAGGGCUACACACGUGCUACAAUGGCGUAUACAAAGAGAAGCGACCUCGCGAGAGCAAGCGGAACUUAUAAAGUACGUCGUAGUCCGGAUUGGAGUCUGCAACUCGACUCCAUGAAGUCGGAAUCGCUAGUAAUCGUAGAUCAGAAUGCUACGGUGAAUACGUUCCCGGGCCUUGUACACACCGCCCGUCACACCAUGGGAGUGGGUUGCAAAAGAAGUAGGUAGCUUAACCUUCGGGAGGGCGCUUACACUUUGUGAUUCAUGACUGGGGUGAAGUCGUAACAAGGAGCCGUA
Molecule: ribosomal RNA, 714 nt
Filed under: uncultured bacterium
Lineage: Bacteria
Description: bacterial SSU rRNA
Rfam family: Bacterial small subunit ribosomal RNA
Source: RNAcentral